RNAcentral lists this ribosomal RNA (419 nucleotides) under uncultured bacterium. RNAcentral's name for it is "bacterial SSU rRNA". It matches the Rfam family "Bacterial small subunit ribosomal RNA", at positions 355 to 791 of the family's 1533-position model. The record is from RNAcentral.
UGGGGAAUAUUGCACAAUGGGGAAACCCUGAUGCAGCGACGCCGCGUGGAGGAAGAAGGUCUUCGGAUUGUAAACUCCUGUUGUCAAGGACGAUAAUGACGGUACUUGACAAGAAAGCCACGGCUAACUACGUGCCAGCAGCCGCGGUAAAACGUAGGUGGCAAGCGUUGUCCGGAAUUACUGGGUGUAAAGGGAGCGCAGGCGGACCGGCAAGUUGGAUGUGAAACCCACGGGCUCAACCUGUGGCCUGCAUCCAAAACUGUCGGUCUUGAGUAGUGCAGAGGUAGGCGGAAUUCCCGGUGUAGCGGUGGAAUGCGUAGAUAUCGGGGAGAACGCCAGUGGCGAAGGCGGCCUACUGGGCACCGAACUGACGCUGAGGCUCGAAAGUAUGGGUAGCAAACAGGAUUAGAUACCCGUGU